GCAUAUCAAUAAGCGGAGGAAAAGAAACUAACAAGGAUUCCCCUAGUAACGGCGAGCGAACCGGGAAUAGCCCAACAUGUAAAUCUCCCUUUGGAGAAUUGUAGUCUAAAGAAGUGCCCUCUGUGGCGGAUGGGAUCCAAGUUCGCUGGAAGGCGGCGUCGUAGAGGGUGAGAACCCCGUCGAUCCUUGUCUUGCUACUUCACGAGGUGCUUUCGACGAGUCGGGUUGUUUGGGAAUGCAGCCCUAAGCGGGAGGUAAAUCCCUUCUAAGGCUAAAUACUGGCGAGAGACCGAUAGCGAACAAGUACCGUGAGGGAAAGAUGAAAAGAACUUUGAAAAGAGAGUUAAAAAGUGCUUGAAAUUGUUGAGGGGGAAGCGAAUGUAGCCUGUCUGUGCGCUCGGGCUGAUACGAUUCUCGCGAGUCGUUGUAAGUGCUGAGUGCAGGUCAACACGGGUUCUGGGGAUGGGAUAAUCGCUCGGGUCGAUACCGGGUCUAUGCCAUCUCUGGGACCAAGGGACGAAGGAUGCUCUCGACAUUGAUCUGCAUCCUCAAGGUGUUGGCGCAAGGGCUUCACUCGACCCGUCUUGAAACACGGACCAAGGAGAAUAAUCCUUACGCGAGGUGGUGGGUUUCAAACCCAUGACCGCAAGUAACCUGACUGGUGGGAUGGCUUCACGGCCUGCACCAUCGACCGACCAUGCGCUUAUGCAAAAGGUUUGAGUGCGAGCGUAACUGUUGUGACCCGAAAGAUGGUGAACUAUGCCUGAGCAGGGUGAAGCCAGAGGAAACUCUGGUGGAGGCUCGUAGAUGUGCUGACGUGCAAAUCGCUUUUCGGACUUGGGUAUAGGGGCGAAAGACUAAUCGAACCAUCUAGUAACUGGUUCCCUCCGAAGUUUCCCCCAGGAUAGCUGGAGCUUGAUUCAGUUCUAUCGGGUAAAGCGAAUGAUUAGAGGUUCGGGGGAUGAAACAUCCUUCACCUAUUCUCAAACUUUAAAUAAGUAGGACGCGCGAGUUGCUUGAUUGAACUCGUGCAAUCAAUGUGAGCUCCAAGUGGGCCGUUUUUGGUAAGCAGAACUGGCGAUGCGGGAUGAACCGAUAGUCGAGUUAAGGUGCCCAACUACACGCUAACCUAGAUCCCACAAAGGGUGUUGAUUGAUACAGACAGCAGGACGGUGGUCAUGGAAGUCGAAAUCCGCUAAGGAGUGUGUAACAACUCACCUGCCGAAUCAAUUAGCCCCGAAAAUGGAUGGCGCUUAAGCGUGUGACCUAUACUCGGCCAUGAUUGUAAUUGUCAUGCAAUCAUGAGUAGGAGGGCGUGGGUGUCGCUGCGCAGCCUUAGGCGUGAGCCUGGGUGAAGCGGCAUCUAGUGCAGAUCUUGGUGGUAGUAGCAAAUAUUCAAAUGAGAACUUUGAAGACUGAAGUGGAGAAAGGUCCAUGUGAACAGCAAUUGGACAUGGGUUAGUCCACCCUAACAAAUGGGGUAAUCCUGUGUGAAGAGCGCGAUAAGCGCUGCCCAUCGAAAGGGAAAAGGGUUAAGAUUCCCUUACCUGGACAGGGCGGUUGACGGUAACGUAAGCGAGCCCGGAGACAUCGGCGUUGGCCCUGGGAAGAGUUCUCUUUUCUUUUUAACAGCUCGACGGCCCUGGAAUCGAAUCAUUCGGAGAUAGGGCUCAGAAGCUGGUAAAGCACCGCACUUCUCGUGGUGUCUGGCGCGCUGACGACGGUCCUUGAAAAUCCGGGGGAACGACUACCGAUCCUGCCAGUCGUACUCAUAACCGCAUCANGUCUCCCANGUGAACACCUCUAAUCCAAUGGAACAAUGUNGAUAAGGGAANUCGGCAAAAUGGAUCCGUAACUUCGGGAAAAGGAUUGGCUCUGAGGGCUGGGCCUAGGGGUCUGCGUCUUGAGGUGCCUGGUUGUGGGUGCCUGCCCUGCUGUCAUGGUGGGGCGGGUGUCUGCGUGCCGGGUGUGGAUGGGCGUAGAAGCUCCUUCACGGGGGCGUUCCCUAGGCAACGAACAGCCGACUCAGAACUGGUACGGACAAGGGGAAUCCGACUGUUUAAUUAAAACAAAGCAUUGUGAUGGUCCCAAAGGAUGUUGACACAAUGUGAUUUCUGCCCAGUGCUCUGA
RNAcentral lists this ribosomal RNA (2130 nucleotides) under Carteria obtusa. Its description in RNAcentral is "eukaryotic LSU rRNA". It matches the Rfam family "Eukaryotic large subunit ribosomal RNA", at positions 38 to 2213 of the family's 3401-position model. Lineage: Eukaryota; Viridiplantae; Chlorophyta; Chlorophyceae; Chlamydomonadales; Chlamydomonadaceae. The record is from RNAcentral.